CCUACGGGUGGCAGCAGUGGGGGAUAUUGCACAAUGGAGGAAACUCUGAUGCAGCGACGCCGCGUGAGGGAAGACGGUCUUCGGAUUGUAAACCUCUGUCUUUGGGGAAGAAAAUGACGGUAUCCAAAGAGGAAGCUCCGGCUAACUACGUGCCAGCAGCCGCGGUAAUACGUAGGGUGCGAGCGUUGUCCGGAAUUACUGGGCGUAAAGGGAGCGUAGGCGGGCGAGAAAGUUGAAUGUUAAAUCUACGGGCUUAACUGGGAGCUGCGUUUAAAACUUCUUGUCUUGAGUGAAGUAGAGGCAGGCGGAAUUCCUGGUGUAGCGGUAAAAUGCGUAGAGAUUAAGAGGAACACCCGUUGCGAAGGCGGCCUGCUGGGCCUUAACUGACGCUGAGGCUCGAAAGCGUGGGGAGCAAACAGGAUUAGAUACCCCAGUAGUU
Molecule: ribosomal RNA, 439 nt
Filed under: uncultured bacterium
Lineage: Bacteria
Description: partial 16S ribosomal RNA
Rfam family: Bacterial small subunit ribosomal RNA
Source: RNAcentral